Molecule: ribosomal RNA, 253 nt
Filed under: uncultured bacterium
Lineage: Bacteria
Description: partial 16S ribosomal RNA
Rfam family: Bacterial small subunit ribosomal RNA
Source: RNAcentral
CACGUAGGGCGCAAGCGUUGUCCGGAAUUAUUGGGCGUAAAGAGCUCGUAGGCGGCGCGGUAAGUCGGGUGUGAAAUCUCGGGGCUUAACUCCGAAACUGCAUUCGAUACUGCCGUGCUUGAGGACUGGAGAGGAGACUGGAAUUUACGGUGUAGCGGUGAAAUGCGUAGAUAUCGUAAGGAAGACCAGUGGCGAAGGCGGGUCUCUGGACAGUUCCUGACGCUGAGGCACGAAAGCGUGGGGAGCAAACAGG